RNAcentral lists this long non-coding RNA (1452 nucleotides) under Chrysemys picta bellii (western painted turtle). RNAcentral's name for it is "lncRNA (ENSCPBG00000028329.1)". The record is from RNAcentral. Lineage: Eukaryota; Metazoa; Chordata; Testudines; Emydidae.
GUUGGGUGAGAGGCGUGGCCAUUGGCGUGGUGGGCGCGGCUAGAGGAGGGGGCGGGGCCGGGCAGGGGGGAGCCGCGCUGAGAUUGCCCUUGUGUCUAGAGCUCGAAGCGGCGGGUAGCGGAGCAGGCUUCCCGUGAACCAAGGCAAGCGAGCGCGGCUGGCAGCCUCCUCCGCGCCCGGCUCCAGAGCGGGGACGUGCGCCCGGCACCGCUGCACCGGGGGGACCUGCCCAGCGCCAGAGGAGGAGGGAGCCGCCUCACCACCCGCCCCCGCGACCCUGGUCCUCCUCCUCACCCCACUGGAUACAGCGAGGCAGAGGGAGACACUGCGGCGGAGGCUCCUGCUGGGGGACAGAAGCGCCCGGAGAGAGGCGGCGCAGGCUGCGGGAAUCUCUGCCUGGCGCCCACCCAGCCCGAGGGAAGCCCCCAGGAUGCGGCUGAGACCCAGCGCCCUACUGCGCUUCUACAGCCUCUGCGGGCUCCUCAUACAAGUGAACUUCUGAAAAGGCUUCUUGGUUUCACUUUUAACGUUUUUGGAACACCUUUGAUAAUGCAACUGGAUUGGCACUGAGCUGCACGUUCAGAAAGUGGAGAACUGAGUUCUGAUGUCUGAAAAAAGCUUCUGACGUUGACUUUUUCGUUAACCUGCAUUCAGCUUCACUCUGCUAAAUUUAACAAGUGAAACUCUAUUGAACCAUGUGCAUGGCUCUCUUCUGUCCAUGUGGCUCAAUUGCUUCCAGCCUAAUUACACCAGUUUCCUAUUACCCUGAUGUUCCCUUAGUAGCAGCCUCUCCAAGAAACACAGGUCUCAUCAUUAUAUCCUGCUCACUAGAACUGGAGUGACAUCUUCCCUGCCUUAAAGAAAACAAUUAAGUGAAAGCAACUUGUGAAAAAGUAGUAUGGACUGUUUGUCUAUAUAUGAUUAUGAAAUAUUUUUUUGUUUUUGUGGAGGUUUGAUCAUACGUUAAACAUAAACGGAAUAGUACUUUCCCAUGCACUCUUACAACAGAUUCAGUGAAUAUUUAAAAGAGGAAUGCCUGAACGGACAAUUGGCCAAAAAACUAUAUCAGAAUCAUUUGUUACAUAGAAUACUGUUACCAAGAAUUGCAGUGUUUAAGUGUCCUUGCAACAUUUGUCAGAAUUUUUGUCUUAUCACAAGCUACACUGAAGUAUGGGUUUUAACAGGUAGCAAGAUAACAGCACUUAAAUGUGUCACUUCUGGCUAACACCUUGCUUUUUCUAUCCCCUCUGAACUUCAGCUGGCAUGUUAGCACUCAUUUAUGGACUUCCUAUUUUGGGGAGUACUUUUUUGUGUGUGUCCAGGACCAAAUUAUGUAUUACUGUUUUCUUGCUUUCAGUUCCACUAUGUGUAGUCUGCACCCUCCUAAGAAAACAUAUGGCUGGAAGUACAAACAACUAUUUGCUUAUUUGAUUUCUUCAAAAUUUUAAACAC